RNAcentral lists this ribosomal RNA (117 nucleotides) under Panthera pardus (leopard). The record is from RNAcentral. Lineage: Eukaryota; Metazoa; Chordata; Mammalia; Carnivora; Felidae.
GUCUACGGCCAUACCACCCUGAACGCGCCCGAUCUCGUCUGAUCUCGGAAGCUAAGCAGGGUCGGGCCUGGUUAGUACUUGGAUGGGAGAAAUGGCCAUGACUUGGAGAUGUCCACU